CCUACGGGAGGCAGCAGUGAGGAAUAUUGGUCAAUGGACGAAAGUCUGAACCAGCCAAGUAGCGUGCAGGAAGACGGCCCUCUGGGCUGUAAACUGCUUUUAGUUGGGAAUAAAAAGAGGGACGUGUCCCUUAUUGUAUGUACCAUCAGAAAAAGGACCGGCUAAUUCCGUGCCAGCAGC
Molecule: ribosomal RNA, 180 nt
Filed under: uncultured bacterium
Lineage: Bacteria
Description: partial 16S ribosomal RNA
Rfam family: Bacterial small subunit ribosomal RNA
Source: RNAcentral